GGGGAAAGAUCUGUUGUUGUUAAUAAAGGACAGAAGUGGAGGCGGUCGUCAUGGAAGGAAAGGAUUUAUGAGCAGCUUGGAGGAGGUAAAGGACAAGGAUGAGAAAUGAAUGAGAAGAAAAGGAAAAAAGAAUCACUAGUGAAGAAUGAUUGGAGGUAGAGGAAGCCAUAACGGAGAGAAAAGAAUCAUAGGCGAGCCUGAA
This 202-nucleotide long non-coding RNA is filed under the name Elaeis guineensis (African oil palm). RNAcentral describes it as "long non-coding RNA (EGUI_LNC001540)". Lineage: Eukaryota; Viridiplantae; Streptophyta; Magnoliopsida; Arecales; Arecaceae. The record is from RNAcentral.